Nomascus leucogenys (northern white-cheeked gibbon) is the source of this 495-nucleotide RNA transcript. It is a transcript of the gene named thioredoxin-like protein 4A pseudogene, with no coding region annotated. The transcript has a single exon. The record is from RefSeq and is a predicted model, not a curated record. NCBI's taxonomy places the organism in Eukaryota, Metazoa, Chordata, Mammalia, Primates, Hylobatidae.
AUGUCGUACAUGCUCCCGCACCUGCACAGCGGCUGGCAGGUGGACCAGGCCAUCCUCUCGGAGGAGGACCGCGUGGUCGUCAUCUGCUUCGGCCACGACUGGGACCCUACGUGCAUGAAGAUGGACGAGGUCCUGUACAGCAUCGCCGAGAAGGAACAAGCACGUCAUGAUUGACUUGGGGACUGGCAACAACAACAAGAUUAACUGGGCCAUGGAGGACAAGCAGGAGAUGGUCGACAUCAUAGAGACCGUGUACCGCGGGGCCCGCAAAGGCCGCGGCCUGGUGGUGUCCCCCAAGGACUACUCCACCAAGUACCGCUGCUGAGGUGCCCUCAGUCUGCGCAGAUAAAUGUCGUGGAGCCCUUUUUGUGUGGAAAUGUUUUAAGCUAUUUAAAGCCUUUGGAAAAUACAGGAAGCUCCAGGGCUGGAGGACCUCUGAGAUGGAAUUGAUUACAUGGUCUUAACUCACCGAAAUAAACAAGCACGUGGUGAGAA